UAUAGCCUGUUUUACAGCGAGAAAAAACAAUGGAUAUCCGGAUGUGGUACUUAAACACUCCUGUCAUGUAUGAGAUUAACUCAAAUAUUGUAUCUCAUUAAAAGACACUGUUGACUUGUGGCCUAAAUACACUUCAAUGGACCUGUACACACUGAUCCUCAGUGUUGGGUUAAUUACUAAAAACCAGUAACCAGUUACAGUUACUACUUACUUUAUUUUAAAAGUAACUCUGUUACUUACACCAUUAAGAAAUGCGUUACUGUGAAAAGUAACUAUAGUUACUUCUUUAUUUCUUCUUCUUUUUUGAAGCUCCCAUUAAUGCCCCUUUUUCCUUCAUUUCAGUGUUGUUAUUGCACCGGAGAAUAAUAGAAUCUGUUGAUCAACUUGACAUGCAUUUGCAUCAAUGAACUCUGCUAAGCCAUUUGGUCUACAUACAACACAGAGACAAAGAUAUGUUUCAAAGGGCCAAUUUAUUUCAGGCCAGAACAAAUUAACAAAACUAUUUUGAAUAGCUGCAACAUAAGAUACAUAAUUAACAAACAGCAUAAUAACAACAUAGCUGUAAACCUGGCUUCACCCAAAAAAGGCACACAUGACAUGAUUAUAUGUCAUGUCACUAUAUGCACACACCUAAUCAGGUAUUUUUUUCUCUUAAGGAAUUCGGAAAUAAAAUCAUGUCUUUAGGCGAUCAACACUGUACUUGAUGCCCAGAACAUUCUACGCAUUUCCCCCGUUUUAGUUUAGAGAUAAGGAAAGAUUGGCCUGGCCCACUAGCAUCCCUCUUGAUGUUUGUGAACUUUAUGGUAUAUGCAUUUAGAGUGAUGUGAUAAUCAAACACUCUAAAAGUCUAGAAUGAAUGAGUAUAUAAGAGAAUUGACAGAGUGUCUGUACCUACAAUUAUGAAUGAUGAGCAGAGGCAGAGUUUGGAGUUUUUUCUUUAGCUCGCUUUCCAUGUUUAUGUACUCAUGUCCGCUGUGUCCAGGUAUGUGGAAAAUGUUGUCCGUGCCGUUUUCUGUUUGACACUGGCAUCGUGCUAAUUAGCUGCCUGAACUCGGGUGAACCCGCUGUAGAAAUAGCCUGUGUGUCUUCUAUCACAUACGCUGCAAUGGCUCAAUCCAUAUUGUCCUGGCUAGCAGUGCCUCCAUUAAAGGGGAACAUUAUCACAAUUUCAGAAGGGUUAAAACCAAUAAAAAUCAGUUCCCAGUGGCUUAUUUUAUUUUUCGACGUUUUUUUCAAAAUGUUACCCAUCAUGGACUAUCCCGAAAAAAGGCUAUAAGUGCCUGAUUUUCGCUAUCUUUAAAUCCAUCGUCCAUUUUCCUGUGACGUCAUUUAGUGAUGCCAACAUGGCGGAUAGCACAGCAAGUUAUAGCGACAUUAGCUCGGAUUCAGACUCGGAUUUCAGCGGCUUAAGCGAUUCAACAGAUUACGCAUGUAUUGAAACGGAUGGUUGGAGUAUGGAGGCAGAUAGCGAAAACUAAAUUGAAGAAGAAACUAAAGCUAUUGAGCGAAUAGCUAUUGACGCUAUUCGGCGAUCGCCUUCGAUUGAGUGUCGCAGGAUGUCCAUACAUCUCUGUGCCAUGUGUGCCUUAGCAUUGCCGGUAAAAUGUGCAGACCAAACGAUCGGGACUUUCGCAUCUUGUGACACUGGAGCAACUUAAAUAUGUCGAUUGGUAAGUGUUUGUUUGGCAUUAAAUGUGGGUGGAAAGAAAGGCUGGAUGUAAAUAUAGCUACAAAUGUACAUACAGCUAGCCUAAAUAGCAUGUUAGCAUCGAUUAGCAUGCCGUGCUAAUCGAAGCACACGCCACGUAAGUCAACUUGAAUCCGUCCCUGAUCGUGUUGUUACACCCGCCGACAACACACCGAUGAGGCAUGAUGUCUCCAAGGUACGGAAAACAGUCGAAAAAACGGAAAAUAACACAGCUGAUUAGACUCGGUGUUUGUAAUGUGUUUGAGAAAAUGGCGGACUGACUACCUAGGUGACGUCACGUUGUGACAACAUCGCUCUGAGAGCGAAUAAUAGAAAGGCGUUUCAUUCGCCAAAAUUCACCCAUUUAGUUUAGGAAAUCGGUUUAAAAAUAUAUGGUCUUUUUUUCUGCGACAUCAAAGUAUAUUUUGACGCUUACAUAGGUCUGGUGAUAAUGUUCCCCUUUAAAAUCCUUAAGUGGAGGUGAAGUGGCAUCGGAGUCUGUGUCUGUCUUUACUAGCUUCAUUGAAGCCUGUUGCUUUUGUAGCUGUUUCAGCGGAUUUGAAUUGCUGUUUUGGGCAGUAGAUGGGAUCUUUGAUCCAAGACACAUUUAACUUACGUAUAACUAAAAUGUUCUUUUCUUUGUGCUCGACAAAAUAAAAGUAGUGAGAAUAUCCCCAUGUUAAGAAACUGGACUCCGGCUCCGCCAUGAUGUCCUGUUAGUAAACACAGACACGCCACGCUCCCACCACCCUACCCUGCCCACAUCCACACACAGCGCGCUUCUCUCUUCUCCCGCCUGCGACACAAGAAAAAUCAGAAGGACCAGACUGCCGCACUCCAAAAAAAACACACUCAGAUCUUCUGUUUCUAGCCGACACGACAUAAAAAAUAACGUAAAAUAACGCAGUAACGCAUCAUGUCGUAACAGUAACUAAGUUACCGAAUACAAAAAAUAGCGCGUUAGACUACGAGUUACCGCCGAAAAUAACGCUGUUGUAACGCGUUAGUCCCAACACUGCUGAUUUUUCAUUAUUUGUGUUCUGAUUUUCCUAUCCCUAACCCUAACAUGUAGUUAUAACAGUUCCUCAAUGGUGCUUCACACUUAGAUUUCAGUUGGUUGGUUGAAAAAAAAAAAAAAGAUUGAUGCUAAUUUGAUAAGAGUGUUCAAAGAUGCAUAUGCAGUAGUAUUUCGACUUACAUUGGUUCUAUGACGGAACUCUUAACUCAAAAGGGUUGUAUCUCAAAUCAACGUCUUCCAUUGAAAUGAAUUCAGUUGGUGUUUACUCUCCACCCCCAAAAAGCAUAAUUUAAACAUGUAACAUGCCUUUUAAAAAGAAAAACCUGAAGACAACAAAUAUUGCAUAAACACUAAUUACUGCUCUAGUUUUAUAAAGUAAUGUAAUGUACCUUGGAGAGUGAACUAAUUUCAGAUGCUUCUCUGUCACACACACCAUCAGCAGCUUUUCCAUAUUUUCAUGGAUGUUAUUAGAUAUUAUUUCCAGUCACAGAUAGUUUCCAGUCACAUUUGUUACACUAACUAAUUGUGGGGAAGUUUGUAACUGAAAUUGACAAAUUGUUUGCAACUUAAAUCAUAACAAUUACCCAAGCUCUUAUCUUAAAACACUCACAUUCUGAUUCUUAAUUAAGGGAUUCUAAGCUAAGAAACCACUGAAGUUACAUAUCAAUAGAAAAAGCUAAUUUUUAAGUGGUAUUACCACUGAACACAAGUAUAAAUGAAAAACGUUUGUUUUUGCUUCCAUUUUUCAUGAGUUGGACUCAAAGAUCUAAAACUUUUAUUUUUAAACAAAAUACCUAUUCCUCUUAAAUAUUGUUCACAAAACUGUCUAAAACUGUGUUAGUGAGCAUUUCUUAAAUGAUGAUUAUUGCACUAGUGUGCCUUAGGCCAGUGGUUCUCAACCUUUAUUCAGUGAUGUACCCCCUGUGAACAUUUUUUUAACUCAAGUACCCUCUAAUCAGAGCAAAGCAUUUUUGGUUGAAAAAAAGAGAUGAAGAAGUAAAAUACAGCACUGUCAUCAGUUUCUUCCAUCCAUCCAUUUUCUACCGCUUAUUCCCUUCUGAUUUAUUAAAUUGUGUAACAGUGCAAAAUAUUGCUCAUUUGUAGUGGUCUUUCUUGAACUAUUCGGGGAAAAAAAUAUAUAAAAAUAACUGGAAACUUGUUGAAAAAUAAACAAGUGAUUCAAUUAUAAAUGAAGAUUUCUACACAGAAGUAAUCAUCAACUUAAGGUGCCCUCUUUGGGGAUUGUAAUAGAUAUCCAUCUGGAUUCAUGAACUUAAUUCUAUACUUUUUUUCACACAAAAAAUAAAUCUUUAACAUCAAUAUUUAUGGAACAUGUCCACAAAAAAUCUAGCUGUCAACACUGAAUAUCGCAUUGUUGUAUUUUUUUUUUCACAGUUUAUGAACUUACAUUCAUAUUUUGUUGAAGUAUUAUUUUAUAAAUAUAUUUAUAAAGGACUUUUUAAUUGUUGCUAUUUUUAGAAUAUAUUUUUUUUAAUUUCACGUACCCCUUGGCAUACCUUCAAGUACUCCCAGGGGUUCGCGUACCCCUAUUUGAGAACCACUGCCUUAGGCUGUCCACAUUUAAGGUAAGUUGUGAGUUCAGACCCCGGCCGGGUCAUACCAAAGACUAUAAAAUGGGACCCAUUGCCUCCCUGCUUGGCACUCAGCAUCAAGGGUUGAGGUAUGGGGUUAAAUCACCAUAAAUGAUUCCCGGGCAUGGCACCGCUGCUUCCCACUGCUCCCCUCACUUCCCAGGGGGUGAUCAAGGGGAUGGGUCAAAUGCACAGGACAAAUUUCACCACACCUAGUGUAUGUGUGACAAUCAUUGGUACUUUAACUUAAUUUAAAAGGCCACUCUGAAAUGUGCAGUUUUAUCACACAGCACAAUGCCACAGAUGUUGCAAGUUUUGAGGGAGCGUGCAGUUGGCAUGCUGACUGCUGGAAUGUUGACGGGAGCUGUUGUCCUUAAAUUGAAUGUUAAUUUAUCUUCCAAAAGUCGUCUCGAAAUGUGAUUCAGAGCAUUUGGCAGUACAUCCAACCGGCCUCACAACUGCAGACCACCUGUAACAACACCAGCCCAGGACCUCCACAUCCGGGAGGUGCACCUCCAUUAUCAUCUGAGACCAGCCAUCCUGACAGCUGCUGCAACAAGUGGGUCUCGACCUGACUGCAGUUUGUCAUCGUAACUGACUUAAGUGGGCAAAUGCUCACAUUUGAUGGUGUGGGGCACAUUGGAGAUGUGUUCUCUUCACGAAGGAAUCCUGGUCUUCACUGUACUGGGCAGAUGACAGAGAGCGCCAUGUGGGAGAACGGUUUGCUGAUGUCAACAUUGUGAAUCGAGUGGCCCAAAGAGGGUUGGGGGUUAUGAGAUACCGUGUUGAGAUCCUGAAGCCCAAUGUUGUGCCAUUCACCCGAGACCACCGCCUCAUGUUGCAGCAUAACAAUGCACGGCCCCAUGUUACAAGAAUCUCUACACACUUCCUGGGAGCUGAAAACAUCUUAGUUCUUGCAUGGCCAGCAUACUCACUGGACAUGUCACCCAUUGAGCAUGUUUGGGAUCCUGGGAAUCAGCGUGUUACAGUUCCUGCCAAUAUCCAGCAACUUCCCACAGCCAUUGAAGAGGAGUGGACCAACUUUCCACAGGCCACAAUCAAUAACCUGAUCAACUCUAUGCAAAGGAGAUGUGUUGCACUGCGUGAGGAAAAUGGUGGUCACACCCGAUACUCACUGCUUUUCUGACCCCCCCAGACACCCAAUAAAGCACUGCACAUUUCAGUGUGGCCUUUUAUUGUGGGCUGCCUAAGGCUGCAAUAAUCACGCUGUUUAAUCAGCAU
Nerophis ophidion (straightnose pipefish) is the source of this 5539-nucleotide long non-coding RNA. RefSeq lists it as uncharacterized. The transcript is spliced from 3 exons. The record is from RefSeq and is a predicted model, not a curated record. Lineage: Eukaryota; Metazoa; Chordata; Actinopteri; Syngnathiformes; Syngnathidae.